RNAcentral lists this ribosomal RNA (251 nucleotides) under uncultured prokaryote. Its description in RNAcentral is "partial 16S rRNA". It matches the Rfam family "Bacterial small subunit ribosomal RNA", at positions 525 to 775 of the family's 1533-position model. The record is from RNAcentral.
ACGGAGGGUGCGAGCGUUAUUCGGAAUUACUGGGCGUAAAGCGCGUGCAGGCGGGGGUGCAAGUCUGGUGGGAAAGCCCCGGGCUCAACCUGGGAAGGGCAUUGGAAACUGCACAUCUUGAGUGCUGGAGAGGAAGGGGGAAUUCCCGGUGUAGAGGUGAAAUUCGUAGAGAUCGGGAGGAAUACCAGUGGCGAAGGCGCCCUUCUGGACGGCAACUGACGCUGAGACGCGAAAGCGUGGGGAGCAAACAG